CACGGAGCAGAAGACUUGUCUCUUGGCGAGGGACGGGCGCCGCUGACCCAGCACGUCCAGGACCAGUCCGUCGGCGGCCCCCACGCGGGUCCUGGGCUCCAGCUCUUCGCCGGGGGGCGCCUCCUGCUGUUCAUCCCCUCCCUCUUUUCGAUCCCCAGCUUCCUCCUCUUCCUCCUCCAGCUCCAACUGCAGUGGCAAGGUCUGGGGAUUGAGAGGCCCGGCAUGACUAAGAGAUAUCGUGAAAUUACAACUCAACAAUGAAUUACAGCACAGGCUUUUCACAACUAAGAGACUGUCCAUCAUGGUGCCAGUUUUUCUCAAAAUGGCAUGUGUGCAUGAAAUUCUACAGGCAUAUGGGGUCGUGAUCUGCUAAUCUCCAGUUAUUAUAACUACUUUGAAAAGGGACUUUCCAGCUAUCAGUACACUAUCUCACAAUUACCCUUGAACCAGAAGACAAUGAAUGAUUUGCUAAACAGAUGGCAUAGUCUAUGACAUGCAUCAUAUGUGUGAGCAAUCACAGAAGACUCCUUCCUGUUGCCUUGUGAAGAAGGCUCCUGCUUCCCCUUCACCUUCUGCGCGAUUGUAAGUUUCCUGAGGCCUCCUAGCCAUGCUUCUUGUUCACUCUGCGGAACUGUCCUGAGCUGAAAAGAAUAUGAGAAAUCGGAUUUUACGACAUACCAAAUUAUGAUUGUAUGUCCCAGAAAUUCACUUAGAAGCUAAUAGAAAAAAUGAAACCAAAGCCUUUUGAGAGUUGAAAAUUUAUCAUGACAUAUGCUGGCUGCACAGUCAAAACUUAUCACUGCCCACGACUUCGGAAGCAUGACAGGAGAGCUGUGGGAGCCACUUCCUCGUCAGACGUGGUUUGAUAUGUCAAGUGAGAACCUGAGUAAAGCAAAGAGGUGAACUAUGACUUGGAAUCCUCCAGGCUUUGGCUUCCAUCACACUCCAUGAACUUGAUGCACAUAAUUUAAUAAACUGCUGAUGCUGACCUGUGCCUCAAGAGGCUUGCCUGUUUGGGGGAGAAGCCUGAUGUGGAGACCAUUGGAAGAGGCUAAGGCAAGCUACCUGUUCCUUAAACAGAUUGUUCAACCUAUUCCAGUUUUUGGUCCUCUACCUCACACAUUCCUUCCACUUCCAAAUCCUGUUGUUAGAGGAUGUUACCUGCCAAAUUUGUACUUUGGAAUCCUCCUCUGCAUGUUCAUAAGUUUUUGGGUUUUCCUUUCUGCUCACUUGCCAAUCCUCUAUCUACUUUCAAUCUUCUAAAAAUUGCUGAAACUUCUUGUCUCACUGUUAAUUCUUUAACAUCAAUUUGUUGGUAUUUUAGGAUAAAAUAUAAGUAAGUGUAUAUCUUCAACCAGCUAUCAUUAAAUGGAAAAUUUCUGGUAUUAUUUUAUACUUUCAUCUAUUUUCCUGUAGACAUUUAAACAAGAAGUCUCUGUGUGUAUGUGCACAUAUUCAAUGUUUUAACUACAAAAUAUAAAUUUCUUCUUGUAAAACAGACAACAUAAGGGUUUUCUUGAAGUCCCCUUUUAAAUAUAACAGGAAUUCCUCAGUGUGAUCUGUG
Molecule: long non-coding RNA, 1564 nt
Filed under: Homo sapiens (human)
Lineage: Eukaryota; Metazoa; Chordata; Mammalia; Primates; Hominidae
Description: HSALNT0336705
Source: RNAcentral